UGGCUCAGCUGGUAAAGAAUCUGCCUGCAAUGCAGGAGACCCAGGUUCAAUCCCUGG
Molecule: transfer RNA, 57 nt
Filed under: Bos taurus (domestic cattle)
Lineage: Eukaryota; Metazoa; Chordata; Mammalia; Artiodactyla; Bovidae
Also listed under: 7 other names
Rfam family: tRNA
About the family: Transfer RNA (tRNA) molecules are approximately 80 nucleotides in length. Their secondary structure includes four short double-helical elements and three loops (D, anti-codon, and T loops).
Source: Rfam by way of RNAcentral